RNAcentral lists this long non-coding RNA (4526 nucleotides) under Homo sapiens (human). RNAcentral's name for it is "HSALNT0194618". The record is from RNAcentral. Lineage: Eukaryota; Metazoa; Chordata; Mammalia; Primates; Hominidae.
UCUUAACGCAAUUCACGGGAACCCACUGGCAGCUUCUGGAAAACCAAACAACUCAUGGUGUGGAGCUCCUGAUUGGGGAAGGGACAGGGAUUGGUCUGUACCUACAUUUUGUUGCAAAAGAGCUCAGGACACUAACAGAGAGGAAAACUAGGGUGGUCUAGGUGGUAAUAAAAUCUCUAUGAAAGAAGAGUAUGAUUGUGUGACUGGGGAAUGGGCAGGUGCUGGACUCUGGUGCAGAGGCUGCCUGGCCUGCGCCACCCCACGGCUGGCUAGCAGACCAAGCUACGUUCUUUCAUUGGCUCCUAUGGGACACAGCAUGGGCCAAUGCCUGCCUGGCCUGCAGGAACCGCCAGUGUUGUUUCUAGCAAGGCUCCUUGGAAUAGAUGUGAACACACAAUGUAAAACUGCAUAGCAGGAUAAACACGUAUGGAGUAGGACAAGCUCACAACCCAAUGCUGACCACUACUGACAAGACCAAGUAUCCAAUCAUAACAGAUGAGACUUUAACAGUUUUGCAUAAAUACAUAGUAUUUGUAAACUAUUAUUAAGGCACUCAAUUGUAAAACAAUAAUUACAGUGUAGGAAAAGAGGGAGGAAGCAGCUAUCUUCUCAUGCAGCAAGGCCGACAGGAAGGACAGUGGAGGACUGGUGAUCUGCUUAUCGGGACUCCUGUCUGAGACAGUGACUGAAGCCGGGGCCCCAGCACCUAUGGCCAAACAAGAAGACGGCAGUCUCUCCAGAACCACCCAGGGCGGCACUGGUCACAGUUUCAUUCCAGAUCGUUAAGGCCAGGCUAUUAAGCAUCAAGUCCAGAAUGCUUCACUCUGCUCUGUGGACGGGACCAGCGCUCUCGUCUGGAUGUUGAUAUGCUAGCUGUGCUUCCAAAAAUGAAUGGGUAAGUUUGCCAGAAGCCAAAGACCAACUUGUACUCUCCAGAUUCCACACCCCACCCCCCAACUCUUUAGAUAAGAAAAAUUAUGGCUUUCAAAAUUAAAGUUUUCAAAAAUAUAUCAUUCUCAUACAUAGACGUGGUUAAAAAACCAACAAAAGCCUGUCAUCACUAAAUUUAAAAGAUUAUUUUGACACAAAAAUUGAUCUACCACAUGAAAUUUGAUUUGGCAAAACAUACCGAACUUGAUAUUUUUUGAGGCUAUGCUUUUGUUGGCUGAGGGAAAGGGGGAACAACCCACAGGGGUUUAGGAAUAAGUGGAUAAUCACCUUUUAAGGUGAUUUUAAUUGACACUAGUGGGAAAACAGCUCCCUAUAAAGUAAUGUAUGUAUUUUUAAAAAUCACUCCAAGGAGACAAAGUCCUGGAGGGAGGAUUUUUGCAAAAACUGUGCUCACUAGGUAAAAUAUGAACUAGCCUUGUUCCUGCAGAUCCCUCCUGGGGUGCUUUCUAGAAUAGCUUUGGGGAACACAGUUCUGGCCAAUGUUAAGAUGAUGGCUCACUCACUCACUUUCAGAAUUCAGCUGGUCCUUGAAGGCUUUCUGGUUUCACUGAGUUAAUCUGGCGGACCCAGCUGAGGGCAAGAUGGAAUUGUGGAAGAGCUUCAGCCAACUGUGUUCACCUGCCUUCCCCCAUGUACGCAACCUACUCCAUCCUGCACAGGUGAGGCUAGUGCGGGGCUGGCAAAGCUUGUGGUCGGGAGGAGGGAAGGGUCUGGCCUUAGGUGUCAGAGAGGCAGAGGGCUUCACAUUUACCCAGUUUCUUCCUACAGGGCCAUGAGCAGCCCUGUGUGGCAAAUCAAACCAGGGGUCAGCAACUUUUUCUACAAAGGGCCUGACAGUAAGUACCUCAGGCUUUGUGGGCCACAUGAAUUCUGUCACAUAUUAUUUCUUUUUUUUACAACUCCUUAAAAAGGUAAAAGCCAUCGCUUGAGCCAGGGAGGUUGAUGCUGCAGUGAGUCAUGAUUGCACUACUGUACUCCAGCCUAGGUGACAGAGCCAGGCCCUGUCUUAAAGAGGAAAAACCAUUCCUAGCUCACGGGGCCACAUGCCAUAGUUUGCUGACCCCUGAAUUCAACCUUUCUGCUUUUCUGCAAGCUGCCUCUCUCUCGAAAUGUUUUGACAUCUAGCUUGCUGACACCUUUGAUUCAAGCCUGGCGCAGCGGGACUGGCUGAGCUCACCUGAGUCUUAAAGGGGCCGCCCACAGAGCCAGGCAGCGACUACAGAUCCCUCUUAUACUCCCUCACUGCUGCUGGGAAGAGCUGGAGGGAAACAGGAAGCAGUAAUCUCACUGCAGGAAGGGGCAACUGUAGACAUCCGGGAAGCAUCCCGACAGUCCCGUUCCUUUCGGGGAAGCCGCUGAAAUCUCCUUUCCCUUCCCUAGAUGGGCCCUAGUGGACCUAAGCAUCUGGGCUCUCAGCAGGACGAUGUGUCUCAGAACCACCACCUGAGCCAGACACUUGAGCAAUUUCAAACCUAAACACAAUCAUGUGUUUCAGCAGCAGACACUCAACAAUGCAGGUGGGCCCUUCCCCUUGAGAUUUAAACUUCAGCAUUAGCAACAACUGAGAACAACCCAUACAUUUUCCCCACCGGACCCCUGUGCUGGUCAAACACGUAACAACACAACCAGGACAGGGCGCCUGCACCACCAUUCGGGCACAGAGUCAGCUCAACAACAGCGUGGGACUACUCAUCUGAUGACUUUACUCAGCAGUGCUUGGGGCUGUCGGGUUAAAAGUCUUGACACGUCUGGGGUCCCAACCAAAACACAAAACGAAAAAUUCUUUUUUUGGAAAAACGCUUUCAGACAGAGCAUUAUUCCCUGGAACAAGCCUUGGUCAUUCGUGUGUUUUAAAAAUAAAAAGCGCAGCGAGAACAGAGGUAGGACUUAAUGUUGCCAUCCGAGAGUUUUCUGCGAGGCCAAGAAUGAGCUAGAACGUGUGCCGCGGUGAGGCUGCCACCACCAGGACUCUUCUGCAGGAUGCGAAGGGAACAGUCUGGAUGUGUGCGCCUAUGUGUGCACGUUCUUCCUAAAACAUGGUUCUUCUUGAAGACACGGUGGGAGCGGAGUUUUGUGUCUCCUGGCCGGCGGCUCCUGGUUCUCCCAGGCCACACGACUGACAGCUCCCCUUCUUGUGCUGCAUGUUGGUUAGUUUCUUCUCCUCCUCUCUAUGGCAAGAGUAGGGGAAAAGUUAGGAUGACUUCACUCGUUUAAGGGAAAUCAAGAUGUAAGGGGUCGAUCCAAAUCCACAGUGAAAGUGAGGGAGGGAUCAUAUGAAAAUAUCCGCCCAGCCUGACGCAGCAAAAGGCGGGUCAGCUUUUGCUCAUCCACGAAGGGCUCUUUAAGUUUUCUGGGGCGGGUUUCCCUGAUGGUUUGGAGGUUGCAGCUGGGUCCCUCGGGGUUCCCUGGGGCUCAUGCAAGAAGGAAGAUUCACUCAAAGUGGUGUCCUGGGAGUCAGCGACGGUGGACGGGUCAGCCUCACUGGACAGGUCUUCCGUUGAGAAGGUGAGACUCCCCAGCUUGGCAAGAGAGUGUGAGCGCUUCAGUGGGGAAGAGACGGUGAGGCCCGCCAGCCGGAGCCGGGUCUCAAUCUCCUGUGUCCGCUGCUUCACCAGCCCGGGCUUCCCACGGACACUGUGGAUGCUAUCGCUGCUGGAGCUCCGGGUCAGGUUGGAGCUCAUGGAAGAGGAGGUGGGGGUGUAGCAGAUGGUCUUCAGAAAGUCUUUUGAGAAACUACUGGUGUGGUCCAGGCGGUAGAAGAAAGGAGGGGGGCUCUUCAGUGAGCCUCCUUCCAAUGAAGCGGGGGCGGCCUCUGACUUCUCAUCACUCCCGGCCUGGCUGGGCAUAACCAGGGGGCCCAGCUCGUGGAGCGCGGCUGGAUCCUGGCUCUCCUCGGGGAUGCUGGCCUCCAGCCUGCUGGCAGGGCCAUCCCUGGAGGGAGGUGCUGGGUCUGCAGGCACGCUCUUCAGCCGCUCUAGCUCUUUGGUGUGCUUGCGGACCAAGCCUGCCUUCUGCAGCUGAAUGAUGGACUCCUGGUGCUGCAUCAGGUAGCUGUUGGUUGUCGGCUUCUCAGAUUCAUUACUGAACAGAAGCCUCAGGUCCUUGGCUGGCUUCAUAUCUUUCUUGGGUGACGAUUCUUCCUUUAUUACCACUUCUGUGCUGGGAGGGUUCUUAUCACAGUGAGAAUUCUUCAAAAGGAGGGACUUUGGCAGGACUUUUGGGGUCUCUCUGGAAGGUUCCAAAAGGCUGGCUGGUGGCUCUAGGGCAGCUCCAGCCCCAGGGCCACUGGUGUCUGCCCUCCUGGAGCCUGCUGGUGGUAGGAACGGGGGAGGUUCGGUUGGGCCAGAGGCUGGCUUCUCCGGAACACGGGACCUGCUGGCCAAGUGGGCCACAGGGGAGGACGUGAUGUGGGGUAGGAAGGCUGGCUGGGUGCAGAUGGCGGGAGCAUUGGGGUCCUCACAUCGCUCCCUGGAGGCCUCAGGAGCCCCGCUGGCUGUAGGGUACAUGCAGUCGGCACAGGAUUUAUAGGAAGGCUUCACUUUGUUAAGGAUCCCAAAUAUAGCAUCAUCCUGCAA